UCGAGGAUCUUCGGCAAUGGGCGCAAGCCUGACCGAGCGACGCCGCGUGUGCGAUGAAGGCCUUCGGGUUGUAAAGCACUGUCGAGGGGGAGAAAACCCGCAAGGGUUGAUCUAUCCCUGGAGGAAGCACGGGCUAAGUUCGUGCCAGCAGCCGCGGUAAGACGAACCGUGCGAACGUUGUUCGGAAUCACUGGGCUUAAAGGGCGCGUAGGCGGGCUGCCAAGUCUGGGGUGAAAUCCCACGGCUCAACCGUGGAACUGCCUCGGAUACUGGCGGCCUCGAGGGAGGUAGGGGCGUGCGGAACUGUGGGUGGAGCGGUGAAAUGCGUUGAUAUCCACAGGAACUCCGGUGGCGAAGGCGGCACGCUGGACCUUUUCUGACGCUGAGGCGCGAAAGCCAGGGGAGCAAACGG
This 412-nucleotide ribosomal RNA is filed under the name uncultured bacterium. RNAcentral describes it as "bacterial SSU rRNA". It matches the Rfam family "Bacterial small subunit ribosomal RNA", at positions 355 to 775 of the family's 1533-position model. The record is from RNAcentral.